GUUUCCAAAUAUUGCACAAUGGGGGAAACCCUGAUGCAGCCAUGCCGCGUGUGUGAAGAAGGCCUUCGGGUUGUAAAGCACUUUCAGCGAGGAGGAAAGGUUGGUAGCGAAUAACUGCCAGCUGUGACGUUACUCGCAGAAGAAGCACCGGCUAACUCCGUGCCAGCAGCCGCGGUAAUACGGAGGGUGCAAGCGUUAAUCGGAAUUACUGGGCGUAAAGCGCACGCAGGCGGUUGGAUAAGUUAGAUGUGAAAGCCCCGGGCUCAACCUGGGAAUUGCAUUUAAAACUGUCCAGCUAGAGUCUUGUAGAGGGGGGUAGAAUUCCAGGUGUAGCGGUGAAAUGCGUAGAGAUCUGGAGGAAUACCGGUGGCGAAGGCGGCCCCCUGGACAAAGACUGACGCUCAGGUGCGAAAGCGUGGGGAGCAAA
Molecule: ribosomal RNA, 427 nt
Filed under: Aeromonas sp. E64
Lineage: Bacteria; Pseudomonadati; Pseudomonadota; Gammaproteobacteria; Aeromonadales; Aeromonadaceae
Description: bacterial SSU rRNA
Rfam family: Bacterial small subunit ribosomal RNA
Source: RNAcentral